This 1404-nucleotide ribosomal RNA is filed under the name Staphylococcus aureus. RNAcentral's name for it is "partial 23S ribosomal RNA". It matches the Rfam family "Bacterial large subunit ribosomal RNA", at positions 1521 to 2925 of the family's 2925-position model. The record is from RNAcentral. Lineage: Bacteria; Bacillati; Bacillota; Bacilli; Caryophanales; Staphylococcaceae.
AAGGCUGAGUAUUAGGCAAAUCCGGUACUCGUUAAGGCUGAGCUGUGAUGGGGAGAAGACAUUGUGUCUUCGAGUCGUUGAUUUCACACUGCCGAGAAAAGCCUCUAGAUAGAAAAUAGGUGCCCGUACCGCAAACCGACACAGGUAGUCAAGAUGAGAAUUCUAAGGUGAGCGAGCGAACUCUCGUUAAGGAACUCGGCAAAAUGACCCCGUAACUUCGGGAGAAGGGGUGCUCUUUAGGGUUAACGCCCAGAAGAGCCGCAGUGAAUAGGCCCAAGCGACUGUUUAUCAAAAACACAGGUCUCUGCUAAACCGUAAGGUGAUGUAUAGGGGCUGACGCCUGCCCGGUGCUGGAAGGUUAAGAGGAGUGGUUAGCUUCUGCGAAGCUACGAAUCGAAGCCCCAGUAAACGGCGGCCGUAACUAUAACGGUCCUAAGGUAGCGAAAUUCCUUGUCGGGUAAGUUCCGACCCGCACGAAAGGCGUAACGAUUUGGGCACUGUCUCAACGAGAGACUCGGUGAAAUCAUAGUACCUGUGAAGAUGCAGGUUACCCGCGACAGGACGGAAAGACCCCGUGGAGCUUUACUGUAGCCUGAUAUUGAAAUUCGGCACAGCUUGUACAGGAUAGGUAGGAGCCUUUGAAACGUGAGCGCUAGCUUACGUGGAGGCGCUGGUGGGAUACUACCCUAGCUGUGUUGGCUUUCUAACCCGCACCACUUAUCGUGGUGGGAGACAGUGUCAGGCGGGCAGUUUGACUGGGGCGGUCGCCUCCUAAAAGGUAACGGAGGCGCUCAAAGGUUCCCUCAGAAUGGUUGGAAAUCAUUCAUAGAGUGUAAAGGCAUAAGGGAGCUUGACUGCGAGACCUACAAGUCGAGCAGGGUCGAAAGACGGACUUAGUGAUCCGGUGGUUCCGCAUGGAAGGGCCAUCGCUCAACGGAUAAAAGCUACCCCGGGGAUAACAGGCUUAUCUCCCCCAAGAGUUCACAUCGACGGGGAGGUUUGGCACCUCGAUGUCGGCUCAUCGCAUCCUGGGGCUGUAGUCGGUCCCAAGGGUUGGGCUGUUCGCCCAUUAAAGCGGUACGCGAGCUGGGUUCAGAACGUCGUGAGACAGUUCGGUCCCUAUCCGUCGUGGGCGUAGGAAAUUUGAGAGGAGCUGUCCUUAGUACGAGAGGACCGGGAUGGACAUACCUCUGGUGUACCAGUUGUCGUGCCAACGGCAUAGCUGGGUAGCUAUGUGUGGACGGGAUAAGUGCUGAAAGCAUCUAAGCAUGAAGCCCCCCUCAAGAUGAGAUUUCCCAACUUCGGUUAUAAGAUCCCUCAAAGAUGAUGAGGUUAAUAGGUUCGAGGUGGAAGCAUGGUGACAUGUGGAGCUGACGAAUACUAAUCGAUCGAAGACUUAAUCAA